Molecule: transfer RNA, 69 nt
Filed under: Marmota monax (woodchuck)
Lineage: Eukaryota; Metazoa; Chordata; Mammalia; Rodentia; Sciuridae
Description: tRNA.Ala
Source: RNAcentral
GGGUGUAACUCAGUGGUAGAGUGCUUGCCUAGCAUGUGUGAGGCCCUGGGUUUGAGCCCCUACACUACA